Molecule: unclassified non-coding RNA, 380 nt
Filed under: soil metagenome
Description: partial contains 5.8S ribosomal RNA, internal transcribed spacer 2, and large subunit ribosomal RNA
Rfam family: 5.8S ribosomal RNA (bases 1-120)
Source: RNAcentral
GAUGAAGAACGCAGCGAAAUGCGAUAAGUAAUGUGAAUUGCAGAAUUCAGUGAAUCAUCGAAUCUUUGAACGCACCUUGCACCCUUUGGCAUUCUGAAGGGUAUGCUCGUUUGAGUGUCAUUGUACUCUCACACUCCCGAUCUUUGCAUUGGGAGCAGUGGACUUGGGUUUGCCGCUUCACCGUCGCUUACCUCAAAUAGGUUAGUGCAACUCUUGGUUGGACAUAGUACGGCGUGAUAAGUGUUCUUCGCCGGUGCCUCGCAAAGAGGGUGGCCGAUCGGGAUGUUGUGCUCCAAACCGUCUUCGGACAAUCUCUGACGACUUGACCUCAAAUCGAGUAAGACUACCCGCUGAACUUAAGCAUAUCAAUAAGCGGAGGA